This 77-nucleotide transfer RNA is filed under the name Mesorhizobium sp. LHD-90. Its description in RNAcentral is "tRNA-Leu". It matches the Rfam family "tRNA". Rfam says of the family: Transfer RNA (tRNA) molecules are approximately 80 nucleotides in length. Their secondary structure includes four short double-helical elements and three loops (D, anti-codon, and T loops). The record is from RNAcentral. Lineage: Bacteria; Pseudomonadati; Pseudomonadota; Alphaproteobacteria; Hyphomicrobiales; Phyllobacteriaceae.
GGGAGGGUAGCCCAAUCGGCAGAGGCAACGUCCUGAGACGGCAUUCAGUACGGGUUCGAAGCCCGUCCCUCCCACCA